UACGGGGGGAGCAAGCGUUGUUCGGAUUUACUGGGCGUAAAGGGCGCGUAGGCGGCCACCGCAAGUCGACUGUGAAAUCUCCGGGCUUAACCCGGAAAGGUCAGCCGAUACUGCGGAGCUAGAGUGCAGAAGGGGCAACUGGAAUUCUCGGUGUAGCGGUGAAAUGCGUAGAUAUCGAGAGGAACACCUGCGGCGAAGGCGGGUUGCUGGGCUGACACUGACGCUGAGGCGCGAAAGCUAGGGGAGCGAACGGG
RNAcentral lists this ribosomal RNA (254 nucleotides) under uncultured bacterium. RNAcentral describes it as "partial 16S ribosomal RNA". It matches the Rfam family "Bacterial small subunit ribosomal RNA", at positions 524 to 776 of the family's 1533-position model. The record is from RNAcentral.